Molecule: long non-coding RNA, 501 nt
Organism: Pan troglodytes (chimpanzee)
Lineage: Eukaryota; Metazoa; Chordata; Mammalia; Primates; Hominidae
Exons: 3
Source: RefSeq, a predicted model, not a curated record
UCUCUUGACUUCCUGGCAGCCCAAGGCUGCCCAGACCGGGACGGAAACUCCGAGGCAACUCCUCACUUGUCGGAGGUCCUGCGUAUGCGACCCAUUUCCGCACAUGCGCGGUCCAUGCCGCAGUGCCCCCUAGACGCCUAGGUAGCUGCGCGGCCCGUCCGGCAGUGUCUGAUGGUAGGGGCAGAUGGUGGAGACAGGGCCUCUCCUCCCUGUGGCUUUUUAUCAUUCAAACGUCUGCAUAGUGACUUGAGAAAGGACAAGCCCCAGUGAACAAAUGCUUAUCAAACCUCUGUUUUUGUAGACACGGAGUCUUGCCAGGUUGUCAAGCUGGUCCUGAACUCCUGACCUCAAGUGAUCCUCCCGCCUCAGUCUCCCAAAGUGCUGGGAUUACAGACAUGAGCCACUGUGCCCUGCCCUAUUUCUUUACAGUUGUCUUUGCCCCUUUGUACUUAAUCCCCUGUAAUAGUUCUUUAUAUUAAAUUUUCCCAAUGGAGAAUAUGG